This 64-nucleotide transfer RNA is filed under the name Neodon liaoruii. RNAcentral's name for it is "Neodon sp. l BGI-2019 tRNA-Lys". Lineage: Eukaryota; Metazoa; Chordata; Mammalia; Rodentia; Cricetidae. The record is from RNAcentral.
CACUACGAAGCUCAGAGCGUUAACCUUUUAAGUUAAAGUUAGAGACAGGAAGUCUCCGUAGUGA